GAUGAAGAACGCAGCGAAAUGCGAUAAGUAGUGUGAAUUGCAGAAUUCAGUGAAUCAUCGAAUCUUUGAACGCACAUUGCGCCCUUUGGUAUUCCUUAGGGCAUGCCUGUUCGAGCGUCAUUUAAACCUUCAAGCUAAGCUUGGUGUUGGGUGACUGUCCGCUUCACUGCGGACUCGCCUCAAAAUUAUUGGCGGCCGGUACAUUGGCUUCGAGCGCAGCAGAAACGCGAACUCGGGCCCGUCGUAUUGGCUCCCAGAAGCUAUCUUCACAAUUUUGACCUCGGAUCAGGUAAGGAUACCCGCUGAACUUAAGCAUAUCAAUAAGCGGAGGA
This 332-nucleotide unclassified non-coding RNA is filed under the name soil metagenome. RNAcentral describes it as "partial contains 5.8S ribosomal RNA, internal transcribed spacer 2, and large subunit ribosomal RNA". The stretch from base 1 to 120 matches the Rfam family "5.8S ribosomal RNA", at positions 35 to 154 of the family's 154-position model. The record is from RNAcentral.